RNAcentral lists this ribosomal RNA (254 nucleotides) under uncultured bacterium. RNAcentral describes it as "partial 16S ribosomal RNA". It matches the Rfam family "Bacterial small subunit ribosomal RNA", at positions 524 to 776 of the family's 1533-position model. The record is from RNAcentral.
UACGGGGGGAGCAAGCGUUGUUCGGAUUUACUGGGCGUAAAGGGCGCGUAGGCGGUCAGCACAAGUCAGUUGUGAAAUCUCCGGGCUUAACUCGGAAAGGUCAACUGAUACUGUGCGACUAGAGUGCGGAAGGGGCAACUGGAAUUCUCGGUGUAGCGGUGAAAUGCGUAGAGAUCCGGAGGAACACCAGUGGCGAAGGCGGCUCGCUGGACCUGACCUGACGCUGAGGCGCGAAGGCGUGGGGAGCGAACGGG